This 211-nucleotide unclassified non-coding RNA is filed under the name plant metagenome. Its description in RNAcentral is "partial contains small subunit ribosomal RNA, internal transcribed spacer 1, and 5.8S ribosomal RNA". The record is from RNAcentral.
UUUCCGUAGGUGAACCUGCGGAAGGAUCAUUCAUAAUAAAGUGUUUUAUGGCACUUUUUAAAAAUCCAUAUCCACCUUGUGUGCAAUGUUAGAUCUCGUCAAUCUUGGCGAGAUUUUUAUACAUCAACUCAUUCUUUAACUAAUUUGUCUGAAAAAUAUUAUGAAUACUUGAUUCAAAAUACAACUUUCAACAACGGAUCUCUUGGCUCUC